This 76-nucleotide transfer RNA is filed under the name Ruminiclostridium sufflavum DSM 19573. RNAcentral describes it as "tRNA-Thr". It matches the Rfam family "tRNA". From Rfam's summary of the family: Transfer RNA (tRNA) molecules are approximately 80 nucleotides in length. Their secondary structure includes four short double-helical elements and three loops (D, anti-codon, and T loops). The record is from RNAcentral. Lineage: Bacteria; Bacillati; Bacillota; Clostridia; Eubacteriales; Oscillospiraceae.
GCUACUGUGGCGCAGUUGGUAGCGCAAUUGAUUCGUAAUCAAUAGGUCAGGGGUUCGAAUCCCCUCAGUAGCUCCA